GACGAACGCUGGCGGCGUGCUUAACACAUGCAAGUCGAACGGAAAGGCCCUGCUUUUGUGGGGUGCUCGAGUGGCGAACGGGUGAGUAACACGUGAGUAACCUGCCCUUGACUUUGGGAUAACUUCAGGAAACUGGGGCUAAUACCGGAUAGGAGCUCCUGCUGCAUGGUGGGGGUUGGAAAGUUUCGGCGGUUGGGGAUGGACUCGCGGCUUAUCAGCUUGUUGGUGGGGUAGUGGCUUACCAAGGCUUUGACGGGUAGCCGGCCUGAGAGGGUGACCGGCCACAUUGGGACUGAGAUACGGCCCAGACUCCUACGGGGGGCGGCAGUGGGGAAUAUUGCACAAUGGGCGGAAGCCUGAUGCAGCAACGCCGCGUGCGGGAUGACGGCCUUCGGGUUGUAAACCGCUUUCGCCUGUGACGAAGCGUGAGUGACGGUAAUGGGUAAAGAAGCACCGGCUAACUACGUG
Molecule: ribosomal RNA, 468 nt
Filed under: uncultured bacterium
Lineage: Bacteria
Description: partial 16S ribosomal RNA
Rfam family: Bacterial small subunit ribosomal RNA
Source: RNAcentral